Oryctolagus cuniculus (rabbit) is the source of this 4486-nucleotide non-coding RNA. The record is from RefSeq and is a predicted model, not a curated record. Lineage: Eukaryota; Metazoa; Chordata; Mammalia; Lagomorpha; Leporidae.
UGAGCUCCUCUCCUUGAAGGAGACCAGUGCCUGAGUGCUAGCCCCAGUGGGUAUGAAUUCACCUGCCUUGCCCCAAGGACCACACAAAGGAUCUGUGCAGUUCUCAGUGUAAGCUCAGAUUCCCCAGCAAUGUUCCUCACCAGGUAACCAGGAAGCCCUGAGCAUGUGGAGCUUCCACAGUGACUGCCCAAAGUCCCAGCCACACGGUGAGUCCUCCCACACAGCCUCAGUGUUUUCACAGUCCCGACACACAAGUCUCCCACAGUCACUAGCAGCCAGCCCCCUGUCAGUUCUCCCCACCAGACUCAGGAGUCUCCACUCAGCUGGUUGCUGGGAACAUGAAAACAAGCUGGUACAGUUGUUACCUAUGUCCCAAAUGACUCCCGCUCUUUAUUGGCUUGUUACAGGACACUGUUGCAAGGUGGUCGGGGAGAAAGAAAUGUGCUCCUUUUUUUUUCCUUCUCUAGUUUGGCAGUUGUCUCCUCUGGACUACUUUCUACUGAUGACAUCGCCAACCCCAAAGAUUUAACACCGGCAGAAACAAGAGAAUGAUGUAAAAUAAAUUGGCUUCAAUGGUUUCUUCCAUUUGGGGUUUGGCCCCAAGGCUGCCUUGGAGCCCACUUGAUUUCAUCCACUGGAGAAAAUGACAAGGCAAGAGGAGCUGAGUGUGCUUACCUGGAGGAGGGGUAGCCCUCGCCGCCCCUGUGUCUUCUCCAUCUUGGUCUGGAUCAGCCACAAAGGAAGAGAGAGAGGGAAAGUAGUGUCAGCCCUGGUCUGUCUCCCUUGCUCUCCAGCAGUGCCUCCCCUCUCAUUGGACACAGGAAGCCUGGUGCCCUUGGUGUCACCCUGGUCUGCUUAGCACUGUGCGAUUUCCUGGGAUAGCAUGUCAAGAUCACUGGAGCCAGAUACAGCCUUGCAGGCAAAUGUCACUGCAGCUUGUUGGGCUGGAAGUGAGUGAGUUUGUUGAAAUGCCUGUUCCUCCUGAAUUUAGGAAAAAUGAAUACGGGCAGAAAAUCCCAUUUGUGAACAGAGGUUCAUGCAGUAUGGAGGCAAUGGAAGAGUGUGGCUGAAGCUGUUGGCUCUGGAGCUCCAAAAAGCUGCAAGUGUGUUUCCCUGUACAAUGAGUUAUAUUGUUGUUCUUGCUGAACAGUUAGUUGUUCAAUCCCUACUGCAUGUCAGAUAUGGCAACAAGGGCUUUCCCACUGGAUCUCCAUGAGUUAGUACUGUGCCCGUCCUCAUUCCGAGAUGAGGAAGAAGAUACACAGGAAAGUUAGGUCACUUACUCAAGGUCACACAGUUAGAAAGAGACAGAUGCUAACUCAGCUUGGCUGAAGUUGACAGUCUUAAACACAAUGCCAGAUUAUUACUUCAUGGCUGGUUGGAUGGCCAAAAGCUAGAUACGGUAACUUAAAAACUCUUGGGAAAGGAGGAAACUGCCUUAAAUGGAAUGUACUCCAAGUUCAAGUCCAUGGAGGUGUUCCAUGAAAAUGAGGCUGUGAAGUUCACCGAUGUGAAAAAUGCUCCAACAAAUACAGAAAUCUGGAUCAUUGCUAAGCUGGGGCAAAUUGUUCUCUUCCAAAGCAAAACCUACAGACUUGGAACAGAGGGCUACUAGGCUGGCUGGCCUGGGCAAAUGACUCUACCUCUCAAAGCUUCUCCUCUGACUGUAAAAUAGAGAUAAGAGCGGACGUCUUAGGACCAGGGAGAAAUAAUUCUGCACAAGUAAGGGGUUUGGAAUAUGCUGGCACAUCAAAGGCCCUCAUCAAUGUCACUGCCCGUUAACUAUCCAGUAGCAAAUAAUCGUCAUUAUGUAUGUGUAUUGAUUAGUCAAAGAUUUAGGGUUACUAGUCACCAUCAGCAAAGUUAGGUUAAUCAGCAAGCAGUUAGGUUGAUCCUGCUGAUACAAUUUUGGCCUAGUUAUUUUUGGGAAGGACAUGGUGCACCAGGAGUCACUGUGGAACCUGCAGUCUGGCCUCAGACGCAAGUUACUGGCUGGGUCACCUCCCUCAGCCUCCGCUUCCUACAAGUUCUGCAAAACAGGUAUCAUAAUCUUUCCUGCAGGCCCUGUCCAGAGUGGUCUCCAGAACUGGGUGUGAACUUGCAGAUGGAUUUUCUCCACGGCAUCCCACUCUACCCUCUUCCAAAGCCCCUCUGCUUACUUGGGCCAAAGACAGCAGUCAGCCUGUCUGCUCCGGUCUCGGCAGUCACUGUGGAAAGAAAACAGCCAACUUCAGGUCUCUGCUCAGCUGGGAGUCUAAAUCAAGCAGAGGUCAACUGUGAAGGACACAGGCUUUGGGGGAGGGUGUCUAAGAAUCUAAAAGACAAGGCCCAGGGCAACGUGAGCAGGGGAUAAGGCUUUAUGUUGGUGCUUAAGUAGGUCCCCAUCCAAAGACGAGGGCCAGGCAUGUCUCAGGGCAGAAGCCCAGCAAGCAACAUCUCUGGGAGUGAAGGGCCACGGUGUCUCAGGGCCGGAACAAGACCUUAUGCUAAGGCAGCUACAGAGGGUGUUCAGGUUGGAAGUGGGGCAGUGGAAGCUUGGGGGCCUCCAGUUUCCACUCAGCUGUGUGUCUUGCACAUGUUAUCUCUGCUGCUCAGUUUACCGUCUUUAGGUGUGGAUUUCAGCAGUUAUUCCUAUGGUUGCGUGAACACUGGUGGAGAUUCUCUAAAUGAUCAGGUCUAUCCAGAGUAUGAUGUGACAGUGUGUGCUGAUUUUACAGGCAUACCACUUUCCUGGAAGGAGAUGCUUUCUAGAACCUCCCCGUGUUCUCUCUCAUCAGUCCUUUGCCACUCAAAAGGUUGGGGGUAACCAUCCCUUUUUCAGGAAUUUAUAAACUAUGGCCUGGCCCUCAGCCUAUUUGUAAAUAAAGUUUUAUUGGAAUGUGGACACACGUGCUCAUUUACAGAUUGUCUGUGAUUGCUUUCAUGCUACAAGAGCAAAGCUGAGUAAUUCCGGCAGAGAUCGGAGGCCUGCAAAGCCUACAAGAUUUACUACCUGAUCCCUUACAGAAAAUGUUGGCCAAACACUGCUUUGUCAGACGGUGAAACUGAAGCUUUGAGAGGUUUAAAGACUCUCCCAGAGUCAUGUAACUGAAAAAUAGGAGGGAAAAGGCUCAAUCCCAAUCUUCCUGACUCAACACCCUAAGUGUUUCAUUGUGAGAUGAGAGCUACGCAAAGCUUGCUAUCUUUUUCUCACUAACCAUUUGUGUGAUUUUCCCCACAUCUUCAUACCCAGGAGCCUUCUUCUCUGGAAGUGUGUGUUCCCUGCGGAAGUCACGGAUAUGAGUCGAGAAUGAGUCGGUCUAUGACUUCCCUUUCUCCAGUUAGACUCUGGACUAACCUGAUUCACUGCAUCUUUAUCCCAGGGAUGCAUGUCCUCAUGCCACACCAGCAUGUCCUCAUGCCACAAGAGCCUUUGUUACCAUCAAGUGCACUAUUUCAUCUGAUACUUUCAAUGUCUGACAGCCCUGGAUGGUGCAGAAGGUCAGGACCUCUCAAACCCUGGAACAGCUGCCGUACACUGGUGCCUCACUCAACACAGACCUGCACUAUUCACAAUAGCCAGGACACAGAGAUCACCUACAUGUCUAUCUACUGAAGAAUGGACAAAGAAAAUGUGGCAUCUGGUCGCAAUGGAAUAUUCUUCAGCCACAACAAAGGAUGAAAUUGCAAUAACAUGGGUGGAACUGGACGUCAUUAUGUUAAGUGAAGUAAGCCCAGCAUGGAAAGGCAAGUGUCAUAGGAUCUCAGUCCUGUGUGGAGUCUAAAAUAGUCAUCUCACAGGAGAGAAAAGUAUGGUGGGGGUUGCCAGAGGCUGGGAAGGGAAGAAGGAGGAAGGGGAGGGAGAGGGUUAAUUGGUGGGUACUGGGCUGGAGCUAGAUCAGAGUAAGAAUUGCUGGGUCUCCUUUGCACACUAGGGUACUACAGAUAACAUUAAUGUACUGUAUAUUUCAUUAUAAGAAGGAAAAAACUUAGAAGAUAGGGUUUUGGAUGUUUUUGCCAUAAGGAAAUGCUCAGUGUUUGAGGACAUAGAUAGAUUUACCCUGAUUGCACAUUAUGCAAUGUAUACAUGUAUCAAAACAACACAUGAUACUCCAUAAAUGUGUCCAAUUUUUAUGUGUGUUACAAAUGUUUUUUCCCUAAAUACAAAUAAAACAGUCUGCUAAUCAAUAAUCUGCUGACUUGUUCCCACGCAUAAAACAUUUAUUGUGCAUCUGCUCCAUGCAAGCGGCAGAUGCCAUAGCUCCAGCCCUCAUGGGCUCUCAGUAAGGACUGUGAUGAUGCCACUGGCCAUGAGGGAUGCAAGUGGAUCCUGGGAGCCCUGGGCUUGGCCAGGCCUGCGCCCCUGAACUGUCCGUUCUCAGCCCAGCCCCCCUGAGUACCAGGAGAUGCUCACCACACAUGAUCUUCUUGCCGAUGCAGUCCACAUCUGCACCGAGCUUGCCAGGGUCUUGCAGACAGUCCAUCUCAGCCGCCUCCUCGUAGCACU